UACGGGGGGGGCAAGCGUUGUUCGGAAUUAUUGGGCGUAAAGAGCUCGUAGGCGGUCUGUCGCGUCGAUCGUGAAAACUCGGGGCUUAACCCCGGGCCUGCAGUGGGUACGGGCAGACUAGAGUGCGGUAGGGGAGACUGGAAUUCCUGGUGUAGCGGUGAAAUGCGCAGAUAUCAGGAGGAACACCGGUGGCGAAGGCGGGUCUCUGGGCCGUAACUGACGCUGAGGAGCGAAAGCGUGGGGAGCGAACAGG
Molecule: ribosomal RNA, 253 nt
Filed under: uncultured bacterium
Lineage: Bacteria
Description: partial 16S ribosomal RNA
Rfam family: Bacterial small subunit ribosomal RNA
Source: RNAcentral